CCCUACGGGGCGCAGCAGUGGGGAAUAUUGCACAAUGGGGGAAACCCUGAUGCAGCGACGCCGCGUGAGUGAGGAAGUAUUUCGGUAUGUAAAGCUCUAUCCGCAGGGAAGAAAAUGACGGUACCUGACUAAGAAGCCCCGGCUAACUACGUGCCAGCAGCCGCGGUAAUACGUAGGGGGCAAGCGUUAUCCGGAUUUACUGGGUGUAAAGGGAGCGUAGGUGGCAUGGUAAGCCAGAAGUGAAAACCCG
This 250-nucleotide ribosomal RNA is filed under the name uncultured bacterium. RNAcentral describes it as "partial 16S ribosomal RNA". It matches the Rfam family "Bacterial small subunit ribosomal RNA", at positions 337 to 604 of the family's 1533-position model. The record is from RNAcentral.